AGAAUCAACGCUGGCGGCGUGCCCAACACAUGCAAGUCGAACGAGAAAGGGUAGCAAUACCCGAGUAAAGUGGCGCACGGGUGAGUAACACGUGACUAACCUACCCUGGAGUGGGGGAUAACUGAGGGAAACCUUAGCUAAUACCGCAUAAUACCUACGGGUCAAAGGAGCAAUUCGCUUUGGGAGGGGGUCGCGGCCGAUUAGUUAGUUGGCGGGGUAAUGGCCCACCAAGACAGUGAUCGGUAUCC
RNAcentral lists this ribosomal RNA (248 nucleotides) under uncultured bacterium. RNAcentral's name for it is "partial small subunit ribosomal RNA". It matches the Rfam family "Bacterial small subunit ribosomal RNA", at positions 26 to 288 of the family's 1533-position model. The record is from RNAcentral.